Molecule: long non-coding RNA, 319 nt
Filed under: Gorilla gorilla gorilla (western lowland gorilla)
Lineage: Eukaryota; Metazoa; Chordata; Mammalia; Primates; Hominidae
Description: lncRNA (ENSGGOG00000044372.1)
Source: RNAcentral
UGUGAUUAUGACAUCACAGACAGUUCAGCUGCUUGCACUGGGGGAAAGGGAGAGUAUCAUGGUUACAGCUGGAUCACCUAAGGCAGAGAGGGAAGGAGCCAACAGGUAUAUGAAGAAGACUGUAUUUCCUCCUCAGGAAGAAAAAAUCACCUAUAAGGAUCAGACACAUGAAAAUAUGUCAUCUGCAGUGUAUGAAUAAGAAAAUGGCUCAAGAAAAACAUGCCAUUUUGCAGGACAAAUAGUUCAACAAACUCUCAACAAAGAACAGAAGGGAACUCCUUCAACUGAAAAAUAUCUAUAAAUAUCUACAACUAGUAUC